UGAGAUCCUUGCAACAUAUCAUGUGGAAAUUUGGGCCGCACCAUUAUCAGUUGUUUCUGCUUAGGAGGUCCACUGGAGACAUUUAAUGUCGUCAUUAUCAAGUAGUAGUACUUAAACUGGAUGUUGGGUAGUAUGCAUUAUGUAUGAGUCAUGGCUCUAUGUCUAGUGAGUGGCUUCUUUUGGAUUGUAACUUGCACCAGUGUCAUUUUCUUGCAUGAAUCCUACUGGUUUAAUUUAGAAACAAUAUUAGAUGUUUCGAACUAUUUUAAUGCCUCCCUCCUCUGCUGUUUGCUUGCCCCAUAAUUUGACUCGUAUUGACAGACCAAAAACAACAUAAAUUCUGGAUUUUAAAAGAAUAUAGUUACUCAAUUUAUUAACUGUUGUCUGUUGCCACCAAGGCAUUGGCUUUUCUUGGUUAUAUUUCUUCUGUGGCAUGGCUGGAUUUCUUAUGCCUCAACCGAUCUUAUGCUAUUGCAGCCUUGAAAGAUCAGCGCAAUUUUCAAGUUUCGACGGAAGGUGUACAAUCAUGGCUCAAGCAAGAUGCCCCUUGAGUGUACCCUUUCUGAAGAAAAACUGGUCUUAAACAAAAUAUUUUCAAGCUGAAAGAGUAUGAAAAGGUCGGUCUGCAGCCAGUUGGAGACUCUUUUCAAAAAGAAAACAUGGCCUCUUAAACUUAACAUUUGUAUUUAGUGUAGACUAGAGAGAUACUGCAACCCUGGAGGCCCCAAAAACUUUUUAGUAAAAAAUGCCCCUGCCCCUAUCUUCCAUGGUCGGCGGUGGUGGCGGUGCCCGGCCUCCAAAGGGGCGGGGGUCGUGAGUCUCGCCCCGACGGGCCCCAGAGUUGCAGCGGAGCUAGGCGGGGAAGCGCGAUAGAGGUGCUGGCGCAUGCCAGUGGACACCCUGGUGGCGACACGGAGGUGGCUGCCGUGCGAGGUCCGCAUAGUGGUGCCGAAUGGUGGCGUAACCAGUCAAAUGUUACUCCUUUCAAGCCCGUUUCGUGUCUGCCGGACGCGACGACUCCCGGGACGGUGAAGCUGGAGAUUGUUGGCUCGGGUUGUGAGCUUUCGGUCGUGCUGGAGGUGGAAGAUUGGUUGCAUGCCCCUGUUUUUGUGCUGAUCUAUGGUGGACCGUGGCGUUUCGGCUAUGAAGACGAGGUGUUGCGGCAGCGAUGAUGUGAUCCAACUUGGACGGUGUAGCCCCCAAUCAGGUGGGUGAGGUUGUAGGUGUGCAGUGUUAUGGACGGCGCCCGUGCGUGUGUCGGCAUCUCCCCUCUCACAUUGGUGUUUGGUUGUCGUAUCCGCGUGAAAGGCUAGGUUUAGUUCCGAAUCGGCGAUGGCGGUGUUCUCAACGUCAUUCCUAUGUUGGGAGUAUUGUGUAUGGAGACACGGAGUGGAGAUCCGGUGUUGCGAUCGUUUGGUGCUCGUUGCUACCCUAGGUUGAGCUUUAGAGGCGCUACGUACGUCGUCACUGGUGCAUCCAAGACAAUACAUUUCUCAAGACCGACCAAGUCCUGACAUCUAUUCGGCAAGCACUUUUAGGCAAUCAUGGGUGGAUGGUUGAUUACAUAAGUCACGGUGGUAUGUUGUCGUGAGAGACGUCCGGUGUUUGUCUUUUGGUUUAGGGUAGGCACCUACUGUUGUGGUUGUGAUGUGUGCUAUAAUUCAUCUCCUUAAGGCGGCCUUGGUGUGGAGCUUGUGCUAUGCUUGUUGUGUGUAAUGAUUUGUUUAUGCCCUGUUAUUUUUCUUGAGGUAAUGCCAUUCAGCUAGCUUGAUUGAACUUCAAACACUGAUGCAUCAUCGUUUAUCAUCACUCUUGAAAAGAAAACAUCUGUAUAUAUAUGGUACAUGGAAGCAUCUUUAUACGGCAUAAUCAAUAGUUUAAUACGUCAUUGAGUAAUGAUACAUCAUCGUUUAUCAUCACUCUUGAAAAGAAAACAUUUGUAUACACCAGGACUCAACCGAACCAAACACACAUGAUCGAAUGUCACUUGUGCUGGACACACAGAGCAAAGCUAGGCUAGUCUUCCUCCCAGCCAAACCAACUCAGAAGCCACAAGCAGAAAAAUUAAGCCCUACCUCACAAAAUUAAAGCCCUACCACCAUGAACAUGGUUCGAAAUGGUACAAUACAAAUUUCAGUUAUAUAAUGUUGAACAAGGCUCAAAGGCUUACAACAACAGCAAUUUCCCGCCGGUGUUAGACAUGCAUUCCGCUCUGACAACACAUAACAAGCCAUCUAGCUAAACAGUCACCCAGCUCGCAUUCCCAGGCAUUGCGCUUGCAAUCAAGUUUGGGCAAUCUCGCAAUCGACCGUGUGAUCCCCUAGCCUGCAAAUAAUCAACAAACGUGUGAGCUAACUUCACAUAUUAUGUAUGAUUGACUAUCAAGUGCCAUAGCUCACAUUUCGAUCACUUCAUCAAUAAAAGCCUGAACAGAUGGAGGGCAUGGCUUAUUUGGGUCUUUGAAUGUUAUAAGAAUGGAAAACAGUAGCUGAGGUAGAUAGUUUUUAUGCUUCGUCGCCAACGCAAACGCUGCAUCCCGCUGUUCUAGAGGGAAGCCCUGCAUCGGAAGAAGAUUGUAUCAGCUUGUCAUACAAAAUUACAAGAGGGUGUGUAUCCGAAGAGAAAGGCUAAACAUCUUACAUUGUGAUGCUUAAAAAAAUUGCUAGAGAAUUUGAGCAAGCUGACUCCAUUAUCCUUAUAAGGGGUACAUAUGGUCCCAGCUCUAUCAUACCACCAGUGAAAGAAAUACGUGUGGUGCAUUGCAGGAACCUUCUCCAACCUGCUCCCCCAAUAGAAAUUUUCAAGUAUAGCUAUCAAGGCCUCUGAAUCAUCUUCACUGAGCCUUGUAAGCAACAUAUCGAGAACUGCAGUGAUCUGAAUUCUUCGAGAAUAUGUUAACAGCGAGACGUGAUUCGUGACAAAAGCAAUCACAGCCUUACUUCGAUAAUCAACAGCAGGACCAUUUGAUAGGAAAUUGAUAAGAUUAUAGAAAUAGGUUGGAUAUUUGUUAAUUCCAGCUCCUAAGGCAUCGUCAAAUAUUCCAGAAACUGCACCAUAAUCAAAUAAGGCAAGUCCUUGACUAUACUCUUGAGGAGCAGCAUCAAUAUGCACAUUACCAUCGGCAUCGAAGAGAAUUUGCUUGGAAGUGAAGCCUCCGAAACAAAUUCCAACGUAAUGUUUUCUGCCAAGGUAUAUAAGCACCUUUUGACACCGAACCUGUAGUGGAUGAUCCAGGUACCACACUUUCAUUGCUGGACGUAUCUUGCUCUGAUAGGGGAGAAGUAGGUCCCAUGGCAAAGCCACACCGUGGUAGAGAUUCAGAGUAAUGAUUACAUCAUCCCAGUUUUUGCGACCAGCACUGCAAAACAAACACAAUUUAGUGCUUUUACAAUACACAGGGACCCAAAGUAUUGCAGGAAAAAAAAAAGAUAGGCCAGCACAUUACAGUUAACAGCAAUCUAACGGAAAAAAAAGCACCACGAAUCAGUUUUCGGGAACAUGUUAGUACAACAGAUGUAUCACUAGAGUCACUGCUACAGAAACAUGUCAAAUAGCACAGCACAACACAGUUAACAGCGGUCUAAGGUAAAAAAAAAGUACCAAGAAUCAGUACUUCAGGAGCAUUCAGCUCACAAUUUACAGUAAGGUAAAAAAACUGUAGCAUCAAACUAAAAAUACAGUAAUAAUAAGAUUUAUAAUUAAAACCUACCUGCCACCUCGUAGUCUAGGAUUAAUAUAAACCAUAGAAUCCUUCUGGAGUUGAUAAUAUGACAAAACUUUAUUCGGCUCCAGAAUUCUUCCACAGAAGGUCGAAUAGAGAUCAGUGAGACUAACUCCCGCACACCGGCAAACAUGCUCGAUUAGCAUAUUUGCACUUAAUAUGUCAAGGUUCUCCUGAACAGGAAUAGUUGCUCCACAAAAUUUCACAAGUAUCUGAGAAUAAAACAUAUGUCAAAUAUAGAACAUAGGGAGAACUACGGUAGUAUAGGUUUCAUUCUCUGUUAUCCAACCACAAGUGCAGAUGUAUAGGGAGUACAAAUCAGGUGUACAAAUGGGGGCAGAAAAGAGGCAGUACCUGAACAGUGUUAUUAGCGGAUUUUUUAAUGCUUGCAAUAGUAGAAGAGCUGUUGUUUGCUUCUCUGUUAUCCCUUGCUCUUUGAGCCAACUGCUUCACCUCCUCACCGAUUGUACCAAGUUGUUUCUUGUCUGCAUCCUGCAACACAAGUAAUGAGUUAGAAAAGAGAGAGAGAGAAAUGCACAACCCGAACUAGCUAGUUUUGACUAGCUUACCCUAACUAUUGAAAUGAGAAACCCACGUAAUGUCAAGAGAUAGUGCACAUAUAGAAGUGCAUCAAUGCUCUAAAGGUCACAAACAGAAUAUCGGUUUAUGAGUACUACAAAGCCAAAGCUAUACAAAUACACAAAAGAAAACAAUGUCCGUACAUCAGAUCAGUAGAUAUCCACCCACAAACACAUUUAGAAACAAUAGAAUAAAUGACACAGCCUGAAAUUGAUUGCCAAACUUUGUUGUGCAAUAUAGGAAAAUCUAAAGAAAGUUACCUAUAAAAUUCAUAGCAUUUCAGAAGUACAUGCAGUGAGCAUAGUAAAAUCGAGAAAUUUAGGAUAAAACUAACACGAUCGUUAAAUUGAGAAUUUCAGAAUAAAACUAGGAUUUCAGAAGUUCAGACAACAUACAAUAUCAUUAUUGGCAGACUCUGGAAAAUCCAAACCCACGAGGUCACCAGCACAUCCAAAUAUUUGGCACAAAUUUGAUUUUAAAUCCAUAAAUAAAAUAAAACUGUUGGAGUAAGUUAGUUAUGCUCAAUCUAUAGUUAAUUUUUAGAUGAUGCGGACACUACUAGAAAGAAAUGGAUUGGAGUGCCGACCUUGAAACGGUCCAUGGGUUUGACAACUGCUUCCCGGGCAGCAGUGGUAUCAAGACCCACAUCAGCAUGAGUAACACAGAAGAGUUUUUCUUUAGAAACAGCAGCUUCUGCAGCAUCUAUGUCAGUCUUGGCAGCCUUUUGGACAUUUUCUUUGCCCGUUUUCUUCUCCGCCUCCCUUAGUUGAUCCUGAUGUAUGCAACAGCUAUAAUCAGCUUUCAUUUUAACUACCAAUAGAAUACCAAAUAUCGUAAAUAUUCUCUUUGACAAGAUGUGGCAAAUGAACUGAAGCAUUUACAGACCUCCAACUUUGAGACAUUGCCUUUUAGAUCAGCUUUUCUUGCAGCUGGGAUAGCAGCUGCAUCCAGUGUAUUAUUGAUCGAUCCAAUUUUCUGAUGAAGAAACAACAUUCUUAGUUACAAUCUAAUACAAAGCAGGUCAACAGGAAAUGGCUACAAAGUACAAUUGGCAUCAUCUUUCAUAUAAAGGUUAAGGACAUAAUGUUUCUAAGAAAACAAACAAACUCACAGUAAGUUUUAAUAAUAUCCAAUUUAUCAGAGCAGAGAGCACCACAACCAUAUAGCUCACACUAAAAGAGACACAAGCACAGAGGGGGAAAAGUUUACCUUUUCCAAUGUCGCUCCGUCCAGUUUAGUUGCUUCAUUGAUAUCAGAUAACCAUUCUUUGCUUUCAGGGUUGGCAAGCACAUCUUCCAGUUUGCGACCAAUCGAUACAACUCUUACAGGAUCAGCGUAGAUCUACAAAGCCCAUAUGUAAAAGGAAUUACACAAAAUAACAGGGCAGGCAAACGAGAUAUGACAACAUGGUAUGUCGAGCUGGGUAAGAGAACGCACUUCACCAAACACAGCUCGAAGACCAUUCACGCGCUUUGGGUUGGCUAAUUUUAUUUCUUGUGCAGAUAACUCCAGCUCAGCCUCUAUUCGCUGCUUCACUAUAGACUCAAUUUUUCGCAAAUCUUCUGGUUGGACAGGUUUCCCUGUUAUGUACUAACAGUUGAGUAGACAAGCUGAGGAAAAAAACAAAAAGUGGAUGCAGUAUAAAAAGAAUCACAGCAUACCAUGGGAGAAAUCAAAUCUCAGCUUCUCUGAAAGAGCAAUGGAACCUUUCUGGUCAAUACAGUCACCAAUUACUUCCUACAUUUGCAAUAGCGAAACCAUCAUGAGCACAAAAAAGCACUCCCUGUAAAAUCUGAGAGGCUUGAAAACAUACCCUUAGAGCAAAGUUCAGCAUAUGGGUACAUGUUUGGUUUGGAGCAUUAGAGUACGCAGUAGUAGAAGUAUUGCAGUGUAAUUUAGCAAAUUUCAUAGGUUACUGAUUCAGUAUAAAGAAUUAAUAAGUAAAGAAUGUUACCUUGUAUUUCACUUCAUCGCCAACAGACAAUGUCUUGGAGUCAGGCCCUUCCAGAAAUGAACCGGUAUGCAGGACAUAGCCAGCAAACACUUGGACAUUGUUCACAGUGAAAGAUCCAGAUGGCCCCUCGAUACUCCCGGUGUCAUACAUCUGAUCCAGAAAUAAAAUAUGGCGUGUCAAAAGAAUUCAUGCAACGCAUGGCGCAACUCUCAAACAUGCAGAAGAGAGGUGCAUUCGAAAUAGAACAAGGAAAAGUUUAUAUAUACAACCUGGAACCACACACAAGAUCUAGAAGUGUUGUUACAGCAACAAAUAUGAACAAGGGAAUGCACUAUCCUGGCAGUGUGGUUACAGCAACAAGAUAUGAACAAGGGAAUGCACGUCCCUCAUAUAUAUAGCGCGCGCUCACAUAAACAAACAACCACGUCCACACCUACGGGCUACAGCGGGCACACACAUGACAUGAGCCAGCACCGAUGAAGGUGCAUAUUGUAACUCCAGCAGAAUUUCAAGCGCGUGCGUGCACACGAGAACAAGGGAGAAGGCCAUACCUCUGCGCGCAGAUCCGCAGUGGGGGCCGCAGCCCGUGGCCUCGAGGUGCCGUAGUAGUCGUCGUGGGUGUCCUUGUGGCCGCGACCCCCUCCAACUGCCACCGGAAUGCAGGCCCCCAUCUGCGCGCACCGCGUCGAGUCCCUCCGUGGCGGCGUGGGGCACCGCCGCACCAGGCUCGGGUUUUGGAAGCCGCACCGCGCGACCGACUCUUCGAAGCCGUCCGAGGGCACUCCGCCGCGGCUCACCUCCACGCGCAUCUCGUCGCACUUGCUCUUCUGGCCCCGCCCUCCGCGGCCGCCCUUGAUGCCGAGGGCCGUCGACGCGCUGACCGGAGUAGGGCGUCGGCGCGGGGUGUCGGUGUAGCUUCCGCACGUCCGCACGGCCUCCUCGGCGCCGGCCGCAGACGUGCCCUCACCGUCGCCGACCCGUACAGGGCGUCGUCGUCGCGGAACCGCGUCGUGGUGGCGGUAGCGCUCGAUGUGGCACCCGCACGUCGGCAACGCCUCCUGGACGACAUCGGCGACCGCGCCCUUGCCGCGCAUCUCCCCCGGCACCACGCGCCUCUCAAGCGUCCGGCUCCCGCCCUCGCCCGCCGCCCUCGCCGCAGGUGUACGAGCGGCUGACCUGGCCUCGUCGUUCGCGUGGCGCCGGGUCGGGCAGAUGCCGCCGGAUCUGGCGCAGCGGCCGACGCUGGCCGACUCCUCGUCCUCCCCCUCGGCCGGGUCGCCGCCCCGCCCCUCCCCCUUGGACGGCGCCAUGCCGCCGAGACCUCCCUCAGCCGCCGCUAAACCCUACCCAACAGCGGAAAGGGAGGGGAGAAGGGGAGAGACAGGAAGGCGAGGAGGCCGCGCGGGGUGAAUGAUUGGGGGCGCGGAGUGUUUGGGUUUCCGUUGGCUGGGUCCCGGGUUUGGGGAUGCGGGUGGGGCCGGGGUGUCAGUCUUACCCUGUGGCACUUUCAGUCAACACCCUUGUUCAUUCAGAGAAAGGGGUGUAGCAGAUCCGGCAAUACCGAUUCAGAGGAACGGACGGCUACGAUUGCAUUUCUACCGUUCACUGUCUUACGCUCGCUAUUGUUUUCCAGCCUAUAACUAGCCGGGAUGUGGUUGGAGAGGUUCAUUGUUGAAUCCCCGCUUGCUACCUACCAUGGCUAGCACGUGAACCCUACAUUCGUCGCCCUAUAGAAAUAAUAGUUCGGACCCGGUCGAUAGUUCCCACAUUCUUCGUCGAUUUACAAUUCAUCUCUUGUUCGGGUCCUAACAAAUUGGUAUCAUGAGUCAUCGAUCCUUGGCGGAGGCAUUUCCUUUAUGAGUCAAGACUUCUUUGGUGACGCCCUUUGGGCAGUCUAAUGCACCGGGCACUUUCCAAGCAUUGAUGAACAACAUUUUUGGCCCUUAUUCGAGACAGUUUGUGUAAGUGUUCUUUGAUGAUAUACUCAUUUACAAUAAAGCUCUGAAAGAUGACAUGGAACACAUUGAGAUUGUCCUGGGAGUUUUAAAGGAAAACCAGUUAUGUGCAAAGUUAUCUAAGUGUGUUUUUGCAUUAGAACAAGUAGAAUAUCUGGGUCAUAUGAUCUCUGUGGCAUGAGUAGCCACUAAUCCACAAAAAUUCAAAGCUGUUGCAGACUAGCCAACACCUGAUAGUGUUACAAAAUUAAAAUGCUUCCUUGGGUGAGCAGGUUAUAUAGAAAACUUAUUAAAGGGUAUGGAGUUAUCUGCACACCCUUACAUGAUCUAUUAGAAAGGACAAUUUUCCUGGAAGAGUGAACAUGGCAAAGCUUUUGCUCAGCUCCAAAAUGCUCUCAUUACAACCCCAGUUCUAGCCCUACCAAAUACCUCUCAGCCUUUUAUCUUGGAGACUGAUGCUUCUGGUAAAGGAAUUUGGCGCAAUGUUGAUGCAGCAUGGAAGACCUCCAACAUACUACAACUCUUCCUUGUGCCCUAGAAAUAUUGCACUUUCCACUCAUGAAAAAGAGACUGUGGCUAUUCUAGAAGCACUUAAAAGAUGGAGACUAUCUAAUUGGAAAUGAACUCAUCAUCAAAACAAAUCAACGGUCUCUUAAAUUCAUUACUGAUCAGAAAAUAACAGAGGGUGUUCAACAUAAAUUUUCAUAGAGGGACUUCCACAAUCUGAAGGCAAUGAAGUAAUAUUGGUGGUAGUGGACAGAUUUACUAGGCAUGCUCAUUUUGUACCACUAGCACAUCUAUACACUGUCCGUGGUGUAGCACGUGCCUUUGUGGACAACAUUAUCAGAUUGCAUGGCCCUCCUAAGCUCAUUAUUUCAGACAUGGACGGAAUUUUCACUACUAAAUUGUGGAAGGAUAUUUUUGCUAGUUUGAAAAGUGAACUGAGGUACAUUAUUCCUGCCAUCCUCAAACUGAUGGUCAAACUGAGAGGGUAAACCAAUGUGUGGAAACUUAUCUUAGGCGCAUGACAACCAAUGAACCCAAGAAAUGGUGUUCUUGGCUUUCUUUGGUAGAGUUUUGGUAUAAAACUACAUAUCAUACCACCCUGAAAAUGUCUCCCUUUCAAGCUAUUUAUGGUUUUCCUCCACCCUUGAUCUUUGAGCUGGCUAUUCCGGAACCUGAGGAUGAAGAAGCGCACACCUUCUUGUCUGUUAAACAACACAUGUUGGAACAACUGAAAGACAACUUACAACAAGCCUAGAACAGAAUGAAAAGAUAUGUAGAUCUCAAGAGAAGUGAAAGAGUGUUUGAGGUUGGAGACAUGGUGUAUCUUAAAAUAGAACCAUAUAGGCUAGCAACUUUCGGAUUCAGAGGAGCUCUGAAAUUUACAAAACAAAUAUUAUGGACCAUUCUUGAUCAUCCAGAAGAUUGGCAAGAUGGCUCACAAACUUCAAUUUCGUGACCAUGUGAAAAUCCACCAUGUUUUUCAUGUGAGUCAACUAAAGAAGCACAUUGGCAGCAAAUCCAUACCUAGCCCAAAUUUACCCAUGGUCACUUCUGAUCGAACUAUCAAAACAGGUCCUCCUUUAGUCUUACAAGUGAGGCAAGUUCCUAGAAAUAACUUGCCUGUGUGUAGUGGUACAUCCAGUGGGAGGAUUUGUCACCUGGAGAGGCAACAUGGGAAGACGCGGAAUUUAUCAAGUACAUAUUUCCAAAGUUCUUCAAGACAACAACUCAAAUCUGGCGUGCAAAUCAACAAGCGCCAUGAGGACACGUCGUUUCUCAAGGGAGGGGCAAUGGCAGGCUUAGACUAUCGCACGUUCAGUUAACAUCGUUGUUCAUUCAAAGAAGGGGUGUAGCAGAUCUGGCUCCUUACUCAGACGACUAGUCGCCAUCGCAUGAUUUACUUUACCGUUGUCGUUGAAGCAUUUCUACCUUUCACUGUUUUACGCUCGCUAUUGUUUUCCGGCCUAUAACCAGCCGAGAUGUGUCUCGAGAGGUUCAUUGUUGAAUUCCCCAAUUGGUACCUGCCAUGGCUAACAUAUGAACCCUGCACUCUUCGCCCUAUAGAAAUAAUAGUUCAGAUCCGGUCAAUAGUUGCCAAAUUCUUCGUAAAUUUAUAAUUCAUCUCCUCAAAUAUUGUUUUGGGUCCUCACAAAUUGGUAUCAUGAGCCAUCAAUCCUUGGCAGAGGCGUUUCUUGGUGAGAAAAAAAUUGUCAAAUCGGUGAUUCACACCCCUUUUCCCACACUUCUUCGUGAGUAACGGCGAAGGUGGUGUAUCGGGCGGCGUCGACAGAGGGGUUGAGGUUCGGGGUGGCGGUGUGGAGGCGCUCGAGUCGGUGAGAGUUCGGGUAUGGAUCAGUAGAGCAGAGGUGGUUGUUCGAGUACUCUGCUCGAGCGGUAAAAUCCCACGUUCAAGCAUUGAUCCGUGUGCCAGGGAGGCGUGGAUCUCGGUGGCGGCAGGAUCAGAGGUUUAGGGAUGGUUGCAAGGUGAUUCCUAGUGGUAAAAUUCCCAACCUACACCUCAGACCAAGGGGAUGGGACCCGCAAAAGCAAUCGAUGAGGCGGAUCUUCAAGAGGUUCUAUCCUUGCACAAUGAUUUGGUGUUCUGCUAAAAGAUAGUGCCCAAAUGCAAACUCAGGUGUCUAAAUUACAAGAGGAAGCACAGUCGAUAAGUUCCAAGCAGGGAGGAAUUUCAUUACAAGUUGGGUAUGUAGAGAAAGUACUUUUGGACUUCAGUAAGCAACUUUCAGCUAUCAGCAGUUCUGUUCUUCACACAUUGGUGAAAACAAUGUAGAACAUGCCUCAAAGUGAUAACCCUUCCAGUUUGACUCAAGUGCUCAGAUCUCCUACCUUGCAUCAUGAGCAAACACAUGAAAAAGUUGAAAGAGUGAAUCGGUUGAGGAAGCAAUUAGCAGCAGAGAACGAAACAUCUAAGCAAUUGGAGAACUUAGAAAUGUUAGAACUAACAGGGCAACAACGCCUCCUGGGUUUCCCAUCCAAGUGAGACAGGACACUAAUAGUGUGGCAGUAAACCCAGUUACCGCAAAAAAAAUGUACACACUCCUGCAUUCAAUAAGUUUUAUCAACAGAACAAAGACAUGCAACUAUGGCAAGGUUAUUGUAGAACAUAUGUACGAGAGGUGCAAGCACAGUUCAUGAAAUCCUUAACUAAAAGUCCCAAACUAUAUUUUCCGGAGAAUAUCCAAUAGGCUAGAUAAGGCAAUGCAAUAAAUAUUUUUAGAUGUUUGUUGCACCUGAGGGGUUAAAAGUAUCUCUUGUUCAAAUGUAUGUCACCGAUGAAGCUGGUAUAUGGUUGAGAAGACAUGGGAAAUCGAAGAAACAACUCUCCUUGAAAUAGUUUGGAGUUGAGAUGGUGAGGAUAUUUUCAGAGCAAGGCUCUUAUGACUUAAUUGAAACCUUUGAAGGGAUAAUGGAAGAUGUGCUGGAAGAAAAUGCUGAGCUGGGAGAAUUGUGGUUUGUCAGGUGUUAUGUGAAUGAUUUAAGCGAGGGAAUUAAAUUACAGGUUAGACCAUUAAGGCCACAAUCACUCACUGAUGCUUAUUGUCUAGCCAAGGAAGUGGAACCUAACUAUCCUACAGUUAGUGCCAUCCCUAAGAAGCAAAUCAGUCCUUAUGUCAAUUAUUAUCAGAAGAACAAUGGAAGUUUCCAGAACAAAAAUAGUAACACAACAACACAUAUACAACAGAGUAUACCUGUCAAACAAACAGAAAGCACUACUGGCACAUUUCAAAAACUCGGGAAAGUAGGAGAGUGUUGGAGGUAUGGAGACAAGUGGAUGCAUGGUCAUACAUGCAAGCUCAUUCCUAAUGUUCACUUAAUGCAACAAUAAUUGGGAGAGCAAACUUCUAACGCAGAAGAAACUAUUCGAAAAAUACAAGAGGAAAUUCCUGAAGAAGAGGAACAAGCUAUGUUCAUUACUUAAGGACGAUGUUAUCAACCGCUCCUCGGUGACCUCCCCAGCAGGGGAAACGAAGACCCUCUUGCAUGGGAGCACAGAGAAUCUUAUCGAGCAUGUCCUCCUCUCCAUCAACGACGCUGCUCACCUAGCGACUCACAUUGUGGCGUACCACUCGACGCGAUAGACUUAUAUCUAAACGCAGCAAAACUUAUGCAGCGUUUGAGUUUGUUGGUUUGUUGCACCUUGGAUGCUUUUUUCUUUCUUUCGUUCUGUUACCUUUCUGGUAGUGGGAUACGAUCCAUUUUUUGAUCGAAUGGAAAAAAAUCACGCCCACUAACAAGUGUAUUUGCACAUGUAUUGUGGAAAGGACCUCCGUCCGGAAAUACUUAUUGGAGAAAUGGAUGUAUCUAGACAUAUUUCAGUUAUAGACAUAUCCAUUUCAUGAGUAAUUCCGUACGGAGGGAGUAGAAAAUAAUCCAUCUCUAUAUACGGCAACAACAUUCUUCGGUUGGGUUGACUAGCCCACGCGCGUCGAAUCCGUGUGGCACACCAUUUUAUUUUCUAUCUCUUUCUCUCCCCCACAAACAUGUGGGACUUGCUACCACGGUGGCAUGCCAUGUAGGUGGAAUCAACAAAACAGAAGUGACGGAUAUCUGCCCAAGUGUUCCCGAACAUCAAGUUACAUGAUCAACUUGUGUCUUUCCUAAGUUAUCGUAUGACUAUGUGUAAGGGCAUAUUUAUCCCUUAGUUGUUUUGGUGAUUGAUGACAAUGCUUUUGCGGACUAAUCGUGUGCAUUGAGUAUUUCAGACAUAUCAUGACUAGGCACAAGACGAUUUGGUGCCCCUCAAAGACUAUUGAAGACGGCAUUUCUCUACGUUUCUUUUCGGUGGAUUUGAGUCAUAGGAAAGCCGUACUAUUAAGAGGGGGUCCGCUUUGGAAAGGUUUGGGUGGAAUCAUCAUGUACACGUCUACUCCUUUUGCACCACCUUCCUUUGGCUCUUUGGAGCGUCCUCCGUCUUUCCUUGUCUAUGCAAAAUGUCGUGUUGCUGAACUGGGGCAUGCGGUAGUACUGCUCCUCGGAGCGGUAGUAUCGCAGGCCCUUGCGGUAGUACCGGCUCCUGGUGCGGUAGUACCACAAGUGCCCACGGUAGUACCACACCCUUGGUGCGGUGGUACUUGUGGCCCCAGGCCAGGCGGCUGCUGCGUUUGCGGUAGUAGGGGCGAAUGUAAUUUUUUACAUCCGCGCCCUACGCAGGAGUACCGUGCGCUCUGGCCAGGCUCAGCUGCAUGCGCGGCAGUAGGAGCGGAUGUAAUUUUUUACAUUCGCACCCCGCGCGGUAGUACCGCUCCUGGCUUGCAGUACUACCAUGCCGGAUUUUUGCAUAGAUCCCAACUCAGCAGAAGUUGCCACGGAUGUAUUUUUAUAUGUAUGUGCCUUCCCAAAAUCUGGACUAUCACUGCCUUGCGGUAGUACCGCAAGGGGGAGCGGUAGUACCGCACCAGCGGUUCUACCGCCCUCUGCUUCAUCACAUCAAGGCUGUUCUGGUUUCUGCUGCACGGGCGGUAGUACCGCGGGGCCCUGCGGUAGUACCGUGUGCCCUUGCGGUAGUACCGUGCUAUGCAGGCUGAGUUGGUGGGUAACGGUUGGAUUUGUUCUUCCACUAUAUAAGGGGUGUCUUCUUCUCCAAGAAGACUUACCUCUUCUUCCCCAAAACUCCAUUGUUGCUCCACAAGCUUAUUUUCGCCCGAUCUCUCUCCCUAGCCAAUCAAACUUGUUGAUUUUCUAGGGAUUGGUUGAGAAGGCCCAGAUCUACACUUCCACCAAGAGAAAUUUGAUUCCCCCCACUAAUCCCUUGCGGAUCUUGUUACUCUUGGGUGUUUGAGCACCCUAGACGGUUGAGGUCACCUCGGAGCCAUAUUCCAUUGUGGUGAAGCUCCGUGGUUUCGUUGGGAGCCUCCAAUUAAGUUGUGGAGAGAGCCCCAACCUUGUUUGUAAAGGUCCGGUUGCCGCCUUCAAGGGCACCAAUAGUGGAAUCACGGCAUCUCGCAUUUGUGUGAGGGCGUGAGGAGAAUACGGUGGCCCUAGUGGCUUCUUGGGGAGCAUUGUGCCUCCACACCGCUCCAACGGAGACGUACUUCCCCUCAAAAGGAAGGAACUUCGGUAACACAUCCUCGUCUUCACCGGCUCCACUCUUGGUUAUCUCGUGCCUUUACUUGUGCAAGCUUAUUUGUGUUAUAUCCCUUACUUGCUCGUGUGCUUGUUGUUGUUGCAUCAUAUAGGUUGCUCACCUAGUUGCAUAUCUAGACAACCUACUUUGAUGCAAAGUUUAAAUUGGUAAAGAAAAGCUAAAAAUUGUUAGUUGCCUAUUCACCCCCCCUCUAGUCAACUAUAUUGAUCCUUUCAAUUGGUAUCAGAGCCUCGUCUCUUCAUUAAGGACUUCACCGUCCGAAGAGUAUGGUUGACACCGUAGACGGUGGGGAGGAGCACUCCAGUGUGAAUCCGUUCUCGUCUACGGCCGAUGGGGGAACCACGGUCUCUCGUGAGGAAUUCAAUCUGGCUUUGGACACAUUGAAAACCUCCAUGACGACCGAGGUUGAAAGCAUGUUUAACAAAUUCCUAGAAGGGCUUAAACUAUCCACCGCACCGAUGAAAGUGGGUGAUCCCACUAACAAGGUGACGGAUGCUAAAUCUGAUAAGGGGGAAGCUACUAGUGAAAAGGCUCCUUUUUCUAGUGGUAAAAAUGGCACCGGCAUCUUUGCCCAUGUGGAACCUCCGCUCACUUAUGGUGGACCGAUUCCUUCAACUCAUUUGAAUCAUGCCGGUCCUCCCCCCAAGAUUGUGAAAAAUGAGGACUUUGAUUCUUGGGUUUAUCGCUUUAAGCGUCAUUUAAACCAUGUUAAUACUAAUUUGGAGAAUCAUUGAAGAAGGUUUCCAUCCGCAUGAUCGAAGCAACUUCACCCCUAGAGAAUCCGCGGAUAAUCAAUUCAAUGAGAAUGCUCUCUUCAUCAUCCAAGAUGCAAUUCCACCAGAAGAUCUUGCUCAUCUCCGACCCUUCACCAUUGCCAAGGAUGCAUGGCGCCAUGUUGUUUCCCUCUACAGGGGAAGCGCAAGCAUUCAACGCUCCAACUAUGAAGUGGUGCAAGAUGAAGCCGAUGAGUUCGCAAUGAAAAAAGAUGAAGAACCUCGUGAGCUUUAUCGGAGAUUAUCUACUCUCGCGGUCUCGCUCCGAGAUCAUGGGAGCAAAGAUACGGAUGACAAUUGGAUCAAGCGCAAAUUCCUCAAGGCCAUGAUGCCUUACCACAAGGCCAUGUCCUCCGUCAUUCGUCAAAGGCCGGAUUUCCACACCUUGUCCUCAAGUGAAGUGUUGGACGAGUUUGUGGCUAUGAGUAUCUUGGACAAGACCGCCGACAAUGCAGUGUUACGUUCUCAAAGAGCAAAGAAGCCCAACCUUGCCUUGAAGGCCAAGGAUAGUGUAGAAGAAGAUGAUGAAGAGGAAGAAUAGGAGAGCAACCCCGAAGAUACAAAGUAUGCUUAUCAUGAGCACAUGGCUCUCGCUUCAAGGCAAUUUUGGAGCAAGAAGAAGACAAGGCCCAACUUCAACAAGAGCAACUCAAGUAGCACGAAGGGCAAGCAACGUGUGAGGACUUGCUAUAAUUGUGGCAAUGUGAGCCACUUUGUUGCGGAAUUCCCAUAUGAGAAGAGGGAAGACAAUGGUGGCAAGCUCAUCCGAAAAGACAAGGCCAAGUCUUUCCCCAACAAGAGCAACUUCACCAAGAAGACUCCUCCCAAGGGAUUGGUGGCACAAGAAGAGUACAAUGAGGAUGAUGAAGACGGUGAGUCGGGUGCCAUGGCCUCCGUUGCCAUUGCAACAACUCCAAGGGUGUCUCUCUUCGACUCACCUAAUGAGAACAUCACCGCCAAGUGCCUCAUGGCCAAAGCCACCAACAAGGUAACCCCCAACAUCAAAACUACCAUCAUUACUAAUCCUUCUUUGAUGGAUUGCAUUGAUGAAAAUGAGGGUUCUAGUGGGGAGGAAAAUGAAUUUGAGUCUUUUAUGAGUAAACUUAAGGGUAAAUCCAAGAAGCACUUUGUUGCUCUCUUGGAACAACUUGGUGAAGCCAAUGACAUGAUUGAGGCUCACGAAGAAACCAUCUCUAAGAUGGAGGGGCAUAGUCGUGACAAUGCCGAUGAGAUAUCGGAUCUCUCUAACGCUCUUGAAGAAGAGCGUGGACAUCGUUUGGCUCUUGAGGAGUCAUACAACGAUGAUCAUGCUAAACUAAAGAAAGAUCUUGAUCAUGCUGUUGUUGUAUCUCGUGUGCUAAAUUCCGAGAAUGCCAAACUUGGGGUCGAUCUUGCUAGACUCAAGGAGGAGUUUGAUAUACUUGACAAGGCCCACAAGGCCUUGAAGGGUAUUCAUGCUAGUCUUAAGGAGUCUCGUGAUCAACUUCAAGUGAAGCUAACUGCUACCUCUUGAGCACAGCGUUGGUUUUCCCUUGAAGAGGAAAGGGUGAUGCAGCAAAGUAGCGUGAUUAUUUCCCUCAGUUUUUGAGAACCAAUGUAUCAAUCCAGUAGGAGGCCACACACAAGUCCCACGCACCUACACAAACAAAUAAGAACCUUGCAACCAACGCGAUAAAGGGGUUGUCAAGCCCUUCACGGCCACUUGCAAAAGUGAGAUCUGAUAGAGAUGAUAAGAUAAUAUUUUUGGUAUUUUUAUGAUAAAGACUGAAAGUAAAGAAAGCAAAAUAAACGGCAACAGAAAUAGCUAGUUCAGGGAAGAUUAAUAUGAUGGAAAAUAGACCCGGGGGCCAUAGGUUUCACUAGUGGCUUCUCUCAAGAUAGCAUAAGUAUUACGGUGGGUAAACGAAUUACUGUCAAGCAAUUGAUAGAAUUGAGCAUAGUUAUGAGAAUAUCUAGGCAUGAUCAUGUAUAUAGGCAUCACGUCCGCGACAAGUAGACCGACUCCUGCCUGCAUCUACUACUACUACUCCACACAUCGACCGCUAUCCAGCAUGCAUCUAGAGUAUUAAGUUCAUAAAUGCAUCUAGAGUAUUAAGUUCAUAAGAACAGAGUAAACGCAUUAGGUAAGAUUACAUGAUGUAGAGGGAUAAACUCAAGCAAUAUGAUAUAAACCCCAUGUUUUUAUCCUCGAUGGCAACAAUACAAUACGUGUCAUUUCCCUUUCUGUCACUGGGAUUGAGCACCGCAAGAUUGAACCCAAAGCUAAGCACUUCUCCCAUUGCAAGAAAGAUCAAUCUAGUAGGCCAAACCAAACUGAUAAUUCGAAGAGAUUGCAAAGACAACCAAUCAUACAUAAAAGAAUUCAGAGGAUAAUCAAAUAUUGUUCAUAGAUAAUCUUGAUCAUAAACCCACAAUUCAUCGGAUCUCGACAAACACACCACAAAAGAAGAUUACAUCGAAUAGAUCUCCAAGAGAAUCGAGGAGAACUUUGUAUUGAGAUCCAAAGAGAGAGAAGAAGCCAUCUAGCUAAUAACUAUGGACCCAAAGGUCUGAGGUAAACUACUCACACAUCAUCGGAGAGGCUAUGGUGUUGAUGUAGAAGCCCUCCGUGAUCAAUGCCCCCUCCGGCGGAGCGCCGAAAAAGGCCCCAAGAUGGGAUCUCACGGGUACAGAAGGUUGCGGCGGUGGAAAUAGGGUUUCGUGGUGCUCCUGGAUGUUUUCGGGGUACGUAGGUAUAUAUAGGAGGAAGAAGUAGGUCGGUGGAGCUACGAGGGGCCCAUGAGGGUGGGGGCGCGCCCAGGGGGCAGACGCGCCUCCCUGCCUCGUGGUCUCCUCGUUGAUUUCUUGACGUCCACUCCAAGUCCUCUGGAUCACGUUUGUUCCGAAAAUCACGUUCCCGAAGGUUUCAUUCCGUUUGGACUCCGUUUGAUAUUCCUUUUCUGCGAAACACUGAAAUAGGCAAAAAAAUAGCAAUUUGGGCUGGGCCUCCGAUUAAUAGGUUAGUCCCAAAAAUAAUAUAAAAGUGUAUGAUAAAGCCCAUUAAACAUCCAAAACAGAUAAUAUACUAGCAUGGAACAAUCAAAAAUUAUAGAUACGUUGGAGACGUAUCACUAACCAAGGAGAAAGCCACCUUUCCUCAUAUGGUUUUAAUUGAUAAUGCAAAUGCUACUAACCCAUGUUGUGAGCAUGUGCAUCUUGUUGAGGAGAAUGCAAAGUUGAAGAAGCAACUUGAGAAAGGCCUUGUUUCGUGCAUACAAGGUGAGAAGAACCUCAAUGACCUUUUGAGCAAUCAAAAGGAAGUUGUGGCCAAGGAAGGAAUUGGGUUCACACCCAAGUCCAAGAACAAGAAGAAGGAUGACAAGGCCAAACGACCUCCCCCUCUCAAGCAAACUUUUGUGAAGGAGGGAGAGGGUGCUUCUAAGAAUAAGAAGAAGAACGUUGUGAAGGGUAGUGAUGCCAAGAAGGCUAAUGCUACCCCUCCCAACAAAGCCGGCGACUUUAACCCUUCUUAUGUGUUAUGCCAUGCUAGUGAUGGACAUGUCUAUGCCAAAUUUGCUGGUUCUUCUUAUGAGUACAUUGAAUGGUCUAUUUGGGUUCCUAAGACCCUUUUUACUAACAUAAAAGGACCCAUUACAAAAUUGGUACCUAAAACCAAGCAUUGAUCUCUUGUAGGUGUUUGCUUCCGGUGGGGGAUCAUGGUUGCUCGAUAGUGGAGCCACUAAUCAUAUGACCGGAAGCAAGGACUUGGUGGUGGAGGUUCACAAGAUUCCAUCUAUGCCCACCAAUGUCGAGUGGGGUGAUGCCUCAUCCUCUAAGGUAUUAGGACUUGGCAAGGUUGUCAUUUCUCAUGAUCUCACGAUCGAGAAGGUCAUGCUUGUUGAGUCCCUUGCAUACAAUUUACUUUCCGUUCGUCAACUUGCACUCAUGGGCUUUGCCAACUUCUUUUAUAUUGAUACUGUGGCCCUCUUGUGGAGCAAGACUCUUAAAGUAGCCUUUGUUGGGCAUGUCGAGAACGGUCUCUAUGUGAUUAACUUUUUGGAGCGACCCACUAAGACCGCGACAUGCCUAAUGGCUAAAGUUGACGUGGGAUGGCUUUGGCAUCGCCGUUUAGCCCUUGUCAAUAUGAGAUCUUUGCAAAGUCUUCUCAAGGGGGACCGUGUCCGUGGACUAACAAAUGUUAGUUUUGCUAAAGAUCAUGCUUGCAGUGCUUGUAUUGAAGGAAAGCUACAUGAAAAGGUUCACCCUCCCAUGACUAUCAUUUACUCGAAGAGGCCUUUGGAGCCCCUUCACUUGGAUCUCUUUGGGCCUCCAUCCUUUGAUAGCCUUGGGGGUAGAAAGUAUUGCUUGGUGAUUGUGGAUGAUUAUUCAAGAUACACUUGGGUAUAUUUCUUCAAGAGGAAGAGCGAGACCCAACAAACCGUCAUUGACUUUGCAAAUGAAGCCCAACGUCAACACAAUGCAAAGAUCUUGACAAUAAGAAGUGACAACAACACCGAGUUCAAGAACUACACCUUGGAUGAGUUUCUUAGUGAUGAGGGGAUCAAGCAUCAAUAUUCUGCACCAUACACCCCUCAAAAAAAUGGUGUAGCGGAGAGGAAGAACCGGACGUUGAUGGAUGCGGCAAGGACCAUGAUGGCGGAAUUCAAGUCUCCUUACAACUUUUGGGCCGAAGCCAUCAACACCGUGUGUCAUGCAUCCAAUCGGCUCUAUCUCCGCAAACGCUUGAACAAGACUCCAUAUGAGAUUCUCACCGGUAACAAGCCCAACCUCAAGUACUUUCGGGUGUUCGGGUGUAAGUGUUUCAUUCUCAAGAAAGGUGUUAGGUUGUCUAAAUUUGAGGCUAGAGCUUAUGAGGGCAUAUUUGUUGGUUAUUCUACAAACUCUCAUGCUUACCGUGUCCUCAAUAAGUCCACGGGACUUAUUGAGGAGACGUGUAAUGUGGAGUUUGAUGAGAAUAACGGCUCCCAAGUGGAGCAAAGCGGUACUUGUGAUGUAGGUGAUGAAAUUCCUCCCCAAGCCAUAAGAAGAAUGGGUGUUGGUCAUAUCCUACCCACUAAGGAACCCCUUGUGGCCGAAGGAGAAGGACAAUGUUCCACUCAAGUGUAACCAUCACCAACCCAAGACCCACACGCUUUCGAAGAACAAAGUGAAGGCCCUCAACAUCAUGAACAAGACCAACGGCAAGAUCAAUCUCAAGACGGUGUUGAAUCACCAAGUGAUGCCCAAGGUCAAGUUCUCUCCUCCGAGCAAGUUCAAGAUCAAGAGCAAGCUCAAGAUCAAGAACAAGCUCAAGACGGCGCUCAAGAUGAACAAGUGACCGCUCCUCAACUCACCCCCGAGGAGGAAUUGGAGCGUCGUGCCGCCAAGAUUGCAUCCAAGCUCUUGAUACGUCUUCGUCGUAUCUACUUUUCCAAACACUUAUGCCCUUGUUUUGGACUAUAACUUGCAUGAUUUGAAUAGAACUAACCCGGACUGACACUGCUUUCAGCAGAAUUGCCAUGGUGUUAUUCAUGUGCAGAAACAAAAGUUAUCGGAAUGACUUGAAACUCCACGGAACAUAUUUUUGGAAAAUAUUAAAAAUACUGGAAGAAGAAUCCACGUCAGGGGGCCUCCACCUGUCCACGAGGGUGGGGGCGCACCCCCCUGUUUCGUGGGCCCCCUGACGCUCCACUGACCUCAACUCCAACUCCAUAUAUUCACUUUCGGGGAGAAAAAAAUCAGGGAGAAGGAUUCAUCGCGUUUUACGAUACGGAGCCGCCGCCAAGCCCUAAAAACCUCUCGGGAGGGCUGAUCUGGAGUCCGUUCGGGGCUCCGGAGAGGGGAAUCCGUCGCCAUCGUCAUCAUCAACCAUCCUCCAUCACCAAUUUCAUGAUGCUCACCGCCGUGCGUGAGUAAUUCCAUCGUAGGCUUGCUGGACGGUGAUGGGUUGGAUGAGAUUUAUCAUGUAAUCGAGUUAGUUUUGUUAGGGUUUGAUCCCUAGUAUCCACUAAGUUCUGAGAUUGAUGUUGCUAUGACUUUGCUAUGCUUAAUGCUUGUCACUAGGGCCCGAGUGCCAUGAUUUCAGAUCUGAACCUAUUAUGUUUUCAUGAAUAGAUGUGAGUUCUUGAUCCUAUCUUGCAAGUCUAUAGUCACCUACUAUGUGUUAUGAUCCGGCAACCCCGAAGUGACAAUAAUCGGGACCACUCCCGGUGAUGACCAUAGUUUGAGGAGUUCAUGUAUUCACUAUGUGUUAAUGCUUUGGUCCGGUACUCUAUUAAAAGGAGGCCUUAAUAUCCCUUAGUUUCCGUUAGGACCCCGCUGCCACGGGAGGGUAGGACAAAAGAUGUCAUGCAAGUUCUUUUCCAUAAGCACGUAUGACUAUAUUCGGAAUACAUGCCUACAUUACAUUGAUGAAUUGGAGCUAGUUCUGUGUCACCCUAUGUUAUGACUGUUACAUGAUGAACCGCAUCCGGCAUAAUUCUCCAUCACCGUUCCAAUGCCUACGAGCUUUUCACAUAUUGUUCUUCGCUUAUUUACUUUUCCGUUGCUACUGUUACAAUCAUUACAAAACCCAAAAAUAUUACUUUUGCUACCGUUACCGUUACUUCCAUAUUACUUUGCUACUAAAUACUUUGCUGCAGAUACUAAGUUAUCCAGGUGUGGUUGAAUUGACAACUCAGCUACUAAUACUUGAGAAUAUUCUUUGGCUCCCCUUGUGUCGAAUCAAUAAAUUUGGGUUGAAUACCCUACCCUCGAAAACUGUUGCGAUCCCCUAUACUUGUGGGUUAUCAAGACUAUUUUCUGGCGCCGUUGCCGGGGAGCAUAGCUCUAUUCUUUGAGUCACUUGGGAUUUAUAUCUGCUGGUCACUAUGAAGAACUUGAAAGACGCAAAAACAAAAAUUUAUCCCUCAACUACGAUGGGAGGUAAGGUACUGCGAUCUAGCUCUGCACUUGAUUCACCUUCUGUUUUGAGUAAGCUUGCGACACCUAAACCUGCUUCUGCUAUUCAUUCUGAUAUAUCGCAUAUUAUUGAUGAUGCCACUUCUGCUAUGCAUGAUACUUAUGAUGAAACUACUUCUAUGCUUGAUACUACUGUGCCACUUGGUGAAUUUCUUGAUGAACAACUUGCUAGGGUUAGAGAGAAUGAAAUUAUUGAAACUGACAAUACUGAAGAUAGUGAUGAUGAAGACUCUCUAAAUAUGAAUUACCUGUUGUUCCUGAGGGUUAUGUUUUGGAGGAAGAAGCUGCUAGAGCUAUUCUUGCUUGCAAUGAUAGAUAUGAUCUUAACAAGCUAUUAGCUAAAUGGAAGCAGCGAUCUCUUAAUGCUAGAAUGAAACCUGACCCUGCUUUUGCUGCUUCACCUAUCUGUGUUACUGAUAAGGAUUAUGAAUUCUCUGUUGAUCCUGAUAUAAUUACUUUGGUUGAAUCUGAUCCUUUUUAUGGCUAUGAAUCUGAAACUAUUGUGGCACAUCUUACUAAAUUAAAUGAUAUAGCCACCCUGUUCACUAAUGAUGAGAAAUCUCGCUAUCUUUAUAUCCUUAAAAUAUUUCCGUUCUCAUUAAAGGGUGAUGCUAAGAUAUGGUCUAACUCUCUUGAUCCUGGUUGUGUGCGUAGUCCCCAGGAUAUGAUUUAUUACUUCUCUGCUAAAUAUUUCCCUGCUCAUAAGAAACAAGCUGCUUUAAGGGAUAUAUAUAAUUUUGUGCAAACUGAAGAAGAGAGUCUCCCACAAGCUUGGGGAGGCUUCUCCAAUUACUUAAUGCUUUGCGUGAUCAUCCUCUUAAGAAAAAUGAAAUACUUGAUAUCUUUUAUAAUGGACUAACCGAUGCUUCCAGAGAUUACCUGGAUAGUUGUGUUGGUUCUGUUUUCAGGGAAAGAACACCGGAUGAAGCUGAAAUUCUAUUGAAUAAUAUGUUGACCAAUGAAAAUAAUUGGACACUUCCUGAGCCAACUCCUGAGCCUAUUCCUAAACCAACUCCGAAGAAGAGAGGUGUUCCACUUCUCAGUCCCGAAGAUAUGCAAGAGGCAAAGAAAUCUAUGAAAGAAAAAGGUAUAAAAGCUGAAGAUGUGAAGAAUUUACCUCCUAUUGAAGAAAUACAUGGUCUUAAUUUACCGCCCGUUGAAGAAAUACAUGAUCUUAAUCCAUCACCUAUUGAAGAAACUCAUGGUCUUGAUAACCCGACACAAGUAGUGAAGGUAAAUUCUCUCUAUAGAUUUGAUGAAGGUGAUAUUCCUCACUAUAAGUCUGCUAGACAAUGCUUAGAAGAGUUUGAUAAUUUUAUUGUCGAACAAGAAAACUUCAAUGCUUAUUUUGGUAGACAAUUGAAAUACAAUUCCGAUACGCUUGAACACUUGGGUGAUUAUAUGUCUAGAGUUAAAGGUGAACUUAAACUCAUUAGUAAACAUGCUUCUAUGGUUACCACUCAAGUAGAACAAGUACUUAAAGCUCAAAAUGAUUUGCUCAAUAAAUUAAAUAGUAAGAAUAAUGAUUAUGCUGUUAGAGUGGCUACUAGAACUGGUAAAAUGACUCAGGAACCUUUGUAUCCUGAAGGCCACCCUAAGAGAAUUGAGCAAGAUUCUCAGAGAAAUAAUAUAGAUGCACCUAGUCCUUCUAAAAGGAAGAAAAAGAAAAAUGAUAGGACUUUGCAGGCUUCUAGUGAACCUAUUGCUGAAACACCUGAGAAUCCAAAUGAUAUUUCUAUUUUUGAUGCUGAAACACAAUCUGGUAAUGAACAUGAACCUAAUGAAAAUGUUAAUGAUAAUGUUCAUGAUGAUGCUCAACCUAGCAAUGAUAAUGAUGUAGAAAUUGAACCUGCUGUUGAUCUUGAUAACCCACAAUCAAAGAAUCAACAUUAUGAUAAGAGAGACUUUGUUGCUAGGAAACACGGUAAAGAAAGGGAACCUUGGGUUCAGAAACCCAUGCCUUUCCCUCCCAAACCAUCCAAGAAAAAGGAUGAUGAGGAUUUUGAGCGCUUUGCUGAAAUGAUUAGACCUAUCUUCUUGCGUAUGCGAUUAACUGAUAUGCUCAAAAUGAAUCCUUAUGCUAAGUAUAUGAAAGAAAUUGUUACUAAUAAGAGAAAGAUACCGGAAGCUGAAAUUUCCACCAUGCUUGCUAAUUAUACCUUCAAGGGUGGAAUACCUACGAAACUUGGAGAUCCAGGAGUACCAACUAUACCAUGCUCCAUUAAAAGAAACUAUGUUAAAACUGCUUUAUGUGAUCUUGGAGCCGGUGUUAGUGUUAUGCCUCUCUCUUUAUAUCGUAGACUUGAUUUGAAUAAGUUGACACCUACUGAAAUAUCUUUGCAAAUGGUUGAUAAAUCAACUGCUAUACCUGUCGGUAUUUGUGAGGAUGUGCCUGUUGUGGUUGCAAACAUUACUAUUUUAACGGACUUUAUUAUUCUUGAUAUUCCCGAGGACGAUAGUAUGUCUAUUAUUCUUGGAAGACCCUUUUUGAAUACUGGAGGGGCUGUUAUUGAUUGCAACAAAGGCAAUGUCACUUUUCAUGUUAAUGGUAAUGAGCAUACGGUACACUUUCCGAGGAAACAACCUCAAUUCAUAGUAUAAAUUCUAUUGGAAAAAUUCCAUCGAUUAUUUUUGGAGGUUUUGAAUUUCCUCUUCCUACUGUCAAAAAGAGAUAUGAUAUUCUUAUUAUUGGGGAUGUGCAUAUCCCCGUUGAGGUAACAUAGUGUUAUUCGAAAUUUCUCUGGUUCCAUGUUAUUCGGAAUGAGUUUGUUAACAAGACUUGAUCAACCUUGUUAGUGGAUUCCUAUUGAUGAGCAUGAGAUGGAUGAAACUAGAAGCACAACCUUCUGUACCCUCUCUCUACUUUCUGUUAUUUAGUUGAAAUAAAGUAAAAUAGUAUUUUCUGUCUGUUUUCUGAAUUAUCCAUGCAAUAUAAAAAUACCCCAAAAAUAAAAGUUCUCCAAAUGCCCUAAAAUUGAAGUAUGAUUUUUUCUGGAACAUUUGAGAAUAACUGGCACUGAGAGCACAGCAGGGGGAGCAAGCACCUGGCCACGAGGGUCCAGGGCGCGCCCCUGCCUCGUGGGCCCACGGUGGCUCCCCUCCACUUAUUCCUGCACCCAUACACUUCUUCUUGCUCCCAAAAAAAAUCACUAUCCAGCUCAAGCACGAGUUCUAGCUCAUUUUGCUGCGAUUUUCGAUCUCCUUGAUCAAAGCACCUCUCACAAAACUGCUUGGGGGGAUUGUUCCUUGGUGGUGACUCCUCCAUUGGUCCAAUUAGUUUUUGUUCUAGUGCUUUAUUCAUUGCAAAUUUGUGCUGCCUAGGUGACCAUGUUCUUGAGCUUGCAUGUCAAAUUUAUAUGGUUCCAAGUACUUCUAAUGAAUGAUAUAGGCUCUAGGCACUUGUAGGAGUUGUUGCUAUCAAUGUUGUUGAGCUUGGUUCACUUUUAUUUGAAGUUACUAAAAAUUUCAGAAAUUUUUUAGAGGAAGAAAUAUGCUUAGGAAAAUGUACCAAGGUGGUUCUUCAAGGAAGCAAGGACCCAGGCUUGCAAUGCGUGAUGUUGAUGAUGAGCCACCAAGGAACGCUCCAGUGCGGCCUUGUGAAAGGCCUUCAGAGGACUUCAUGAAUCGAGCGGGAAUUAAGGAAGAAUUUAACGCAUAUUUUCGUAACGCUGAUCUUCUGAGCUUCGAGGCAGAGAAGUGCCGCAAAUACCACUAUCUCACUAGUUCCUUUGUGAGGAGGUUUGAAUUUUCAUCUUCACGUAAUUCUCAAACUGUCCUGUUUGAUCUUUAUGAAAAAUCUUAUACUAUGGACUUAGAGGAUUUUACCACUGCUUGCAAACUUCCACAAUGGGUAGUGCUAGUGAACCCCACAAGUCUGAAUUUAGAGAAUUUCUUGCUAGUAUAACUAUGGGGGAAUCUAGAGAUAUAACACAAGCUACCAUAGGGAGUAUUCAUUUUCCUGCUAUACAUUAUUUUGCUCUCUUCAUAGGUAGGUGCAUCAAUGGUAAGGAUGAAGCAUGUCACAUGUGUGUCCCUGAUCUCAGUAUUCUUAGGAGUGCUGUGUUGGGAGAUAAAUCUUAUAAUUUGGGAGCCAUUGUUGCACGUAGGUUGCAUCAUAAUAGAUUUAAUGGAGAUUUCUUUGGUGGAAUUUAUGCAACCCGCUUAGCUGAUUUUCUUGGUGUAACCAUACGCGAUGAUGAUAUUGAAUUGCCUCGCACCUAUCUAGACUUUAGUGCUAUGGUUCACCAUCAGUUUGUUGAGAGAAAUGAACCGCCUCUCCAGUAUCGCUUAAUCUUUGACAGACGUCGUGCUGUCCAUAUUACUCUCCCUGCUCCUGCCUUCUUUGAUUAUCAGGCAAAAGGAAGACAUUUUAUCACCAGAGAGGAGGCAGAUGAGUACGAAAGGAGGGCGGAGGCAGCGCGCCGUCACGCUGCAGCUCAGGAGGCAAUAGCCGCUGCAUCUCAGUACGACCCCGGUUACAACUAUGGAUAUCCGCCAGGCCACCCGUGGCAAUAAACCAACUUAGGCCAAAAGCCUAAGCUUGGAGGAGUACGUAUUUCUCACCGACAUUACAUUUAUGUUCACACACUCAUUGCUAGAUGUCGGUGCUCAUACUUUUUCACUAUACUAUCCAUGCUAGCUUAUUUUCUUAUUCUUGCUUUCUUCUUGUGUGUUUGUUAAAUCUUAAGAAAAACCAAAAAAAAA
This 26737-nucleotide long non-coding RNA is filed under the name Triticum aestivum (bread wheat). Its description in RNAcentral is "long non-coding RNA (TAES_LNC000755)". The record is from RNAcentral. Lineage: Eukaryota; Viridiplantae; Streptophyta; Magnoliopsida; Poales; Poaceae.